UCAGAUUUUCCGGUUGAUCCUGCCGGAGGCUACCGCUAUUGGAGUUCGAUUAAGCCAUGCGAGUCGCGAGUCUUAGGGACUCGGCGUACCGCUCAGUAACACGUGGGUAACCUGCCCUAUGCUGGGGGAUAACCUCGGGAAACUGAGAAUAAUACCCCAUAGUUCACCACGCCUGGAACGGUGGGUGGACCAAAGCUCCGGCGGCAUAGGAUGGGCCUGCGGCGUAUCAGGUUGUAGGGGGUGUAAUGUACCCUCUAGCCCUCUACGCGUACGGGUGUUGAGAGACAUCGCCCGGAGAUGGAUUCUGAGACACGAAUCCAGACCCUACGGGGUGCAGCAGGCGCGAAAACUUGGCAAUGCGAGAAAUCGUGACCAGGGAACUCCAAGUGCAUCGGGUAAGACCGAUGCUUUUCUUGACUCUUCAAAGGUCUUGGAAUAAGGGGUGGGUAAGGACGGUGCCAGCCGCCGCGGUAAUACCGGCGCCCCAAGUGGUAGUCGCUUUUAUUGGGCCUAAAACGUCCGUAGCCGGUCUGGUACAUUCGUGGGUAAAUCAACCAGCUCAACUGGUUGAAUUCUGCGAGCACGGCCAGACUUGGGACCGGGAGAGGUGUGGGGUACUCUCAGGGUAGGGGUAAAAUCCUGUCAUCCUGAGAGGACCACCUGUUGCGAAGGCGCCACACUAGAACGGAUCCGACGGUCAGGGACGAAGCCUAGGGGCACGAACCGGAUUAGAUACCCGGGUAGUCCUAGGUGUAAACGCUGUGGACUUGAUGUUGGGGGCGCUCCGAGCGCACUCAGUGUCGAAGCGAAGGUGAUAAGUCCACUGCCUGGGGAGUACGGUCGCAAGGCUGAAACUUAAAGGAAUUGGCGGGGGAGCACCGCAACCUGAGGAUUGUGCGGUUUAAUUGGAUCAACGCCGGG
This 921-nucleotide ribosomal RNA is filed under the name uncultured archaeon. Its description in RNAcentral is "bacterial SSU rRNA". It matches the Rfam family "Archaeal small subunit ribosomal RNA", at positions 1 to 922 of the family's 1478-position model. The record is from RNAcentral.